Molecule: transfer RNA, 72 nt
Filed under: Camelus bactrianus (Bactrian camel)
Lineage: Eukaryota; Metazoa; Chordata; Mammalia; Artiodactyla; Camelidae
Also listed under: 3 other names
Rfam family: tRNA
About the family: Transfer RNA (tRNA) molecules are approximately 80 nucleotides in length. Their secondary structure includes four short double-helical elements and three loops (D, anti-codon, and T loops).
Source: Rfam by way of RNAcentral
GCAGGUAUAGCUCCGUGGUAGAGCUUGUGCUUAGUAUGCACGAGGUCCAGGGUUCAAUCCCCAGUACCUCCA